This 648-nucleotide ribosomal RNA is filed under the name uncultured marine bacterium. RNAcentral's name for it is "bacterial SSU rRNA". It matches the Rfam family "Bacterial small subunit ribosomal RNA", at positions 823 to 1482 of the family's 1533-position model. The record is from RNAcentral.
UUGGAAAUUUAUUUUCAGUGUCGCAGGGAAACCGAUAAACACACCGCCUGGGGAGUACGACCGCAAGGUUAAAACUCAAAUGAAUUGACGGGGACCCGCACAAGUAGUGGAGCAUGUGGUUUAAUUCGAAGAUACGCGCAGAACCUUACCAACACUUGACAUGUUCGUCGCGACUCUAAGAGAUUAGAGUUUUCGGUUCGGCCGGACGAAACACAGGUGCUGCAUGGCUGUCGUCAGCUCGUGUCGUGAGAUGUUGGGUUAAGUCCCGCAACGAGCGCAACCCUCACUUUUAGUUGCCAUCAUUAAGUUGGGCACUCUGAAAGAACUGCCAGUGAUAAGCUGGAGGAAGGUGGGGAUGACGUCAAGUCCUCAUGGCCCUUACGUGUUGGGCUACACACGUGCUACAAUGGCAUCUACAACAGGAAGCAAAACGGCAACGUUAAGCAAAUCCCGAAAAGAUGCCUCAGUUCGGAUUGCACUCUGCAACUCGAGUGCAUGAAGCUGGAAUUACUAGUAAUCGUGGAUCAGCGUGCCACGGUGAAUGCGUUCCCGGGUCUUGUACACACCGCCCGUCACACCAUGGGAGUUGGUUCUACCUUAAGGCAAGGUUUUAAACCCUUGACCACGGUAUAGUCAGCGACUGGGGUG